GUGAGUCUGUGAGGAGGACCGAUCAAGGGGAUGCAUCGUGACGCCUUUUGUUAUGAUGAAGUCAUUGAAGGGAAAACCCACAAAGGACUAAAAACAAACGGCGUGGCUACUGAGGUUGGACUGAGAGGGCGACUGGAUCCUGAAAUGUGAAGACUGGGAGGAAUGGAGAGAAUCCAUGCUGCUAAUGCUGCUGUCACAGGCCCCCCACGGGCCUCAGACCCACAGAACACAUAACAGAACAAGAGCACUCCGCUGUCUGGGCCUCAGAUGCUUUACUGUGUGGAUGAAUGCCUCUAUGACUGAUGCCUGGCGUGAUGGGAAAACACCAUGCUGAUCAAGUAGGAACACAACCAGCCCUCUGCUCAGUCUCUCUUCACAGCAGCAUCCUUUCAACUCCAGUCAGGAAGCCCAGCGUACUGAAUAAGAUGAAGAGGAUAAUUUCAUAGUAUGUGAUAAUGAAGCAAAAGGAAAUGAAAUAACACAAACACUCAAACAAGCGGUAUAAUCAGCAUAAUUUUGUUGGUUUGAUGUUGGGGGGAUGUUGCCUAGUUUAGAGGCAGCUCUCCACAGAUGUUAGACGUGUGACAUGCUAAGAAAAAUAAUGUUCUUCUGGUAGUGUUUGAGUAGUCUUUGGAUUGACAUAGCCAGAUUACAGGGCUGUGUUAGUGGCUUGGGUGUGACUGCCUCAGUUGGGUUCGAUCCCCAAUGUCUGCAACCUAACCCGAAGGCUUUCUUGAGCAAUAUGUUGAGCAUCUUUUUUGACCUGAUCUAAAUUUGCCUGUUAGUCACUUUGGAUACAAGCUCAAUAAGUGAAUAUAUAGUCAAGUCAAGUCACCAAUGACUGGACGGAAUCAUCUUCUUUUUAUAUUACAGGGAAAUGACAUAUGAUAAUUCUGUUUAUGUGCUACUAAAAUGUGGCGGGCACAGUUUAAUAAGGAACAAAUACUCACAUGAAGUCUUUAUGAAGUCAUUAAUUAAAAUUAUUUACUAUGCCCUUUAUGGUGGGUAGUGAUGAUGUAGAAAUAAAAUGAUGUGUAAAUAUUCAAAAGGAGAACUUAGUCCUCGGUUUACAGCGGCAGGUAAAAAGGCACACCUAUGAAACCCCAGGAACCGCUAGCGAUACUGGGCGAUAACACACAUAAACAAUAUAAAUACUGCACAUCAAUAUACGUUCCAGAAGAUUGAUAGCAUUAGAUGCAACGGUAAAUUUGACCAAUUCAAUGGCAUGAUUUUAUAACAACAGAGAGUAACGCAGUCCUGGGAUCCGCUGAUAAAGAGGUAGAUGACAUCUGUGCAUAAGAACGGCGAGGGUUUCGGUAAACAAGCUUGCUUGCAAAUAUUCAUGCAUUCACUGUGAGCGAUCUCAGGGCUGGUAUUACACGGGGCUGUCUGUGUGGUUAGUCAUCCUUCAAGCCACCCACCUGGUGUCUACCGGUGUAAAAAACAAAGAAAAGGGAUCUGAAAUGAGAAUCUGUUUCACUGACAGUAACUUCCCUAUAUUCCCAUGUAUAAACUCCAAUACUCACAACUCUUUCCGGUAAAGUUGAUGUGGUAAUUACCAUGACAUGGAGACACACACAACGACCCACAAGGUAUAUUGUCUACUAACUCUUAGGCAGGCAUGCACCCACACACGCACACAGACACACACAUACUCACAGAUGAAG
This is a long non-coding RNA of Gadus morhua (Atlantic cod), 1667 nucleotides long. RefSeq lists it as uncharacterized. The record is from RefSeq and is a predicted model, not a curated record. Lineage: Eukaryota; Metazoa; Chordata; Actinopteri; Gadiformes; Gadidae. The transcript is spliced from 3 exons.